This 485-nucleotide ribosomal RNA is filed under the name uncultured bacterium. RNAcentral describes it as "bacterial SSU rRNA". It matches the Rfam family "Bacterial small subunit ribosomal RNA", at positions 28 to 504 of the family's 1533-position model. The record is from RNAcentral.
GAUGAACGCUAGCGGCAGGCUUAAUACAUGCAAGUCGAGGGGCAGCAGGGAUAGCAAUAUUCGCUGGCGACCGGCGCACGGGUGCGUAACACGUAUACAAUCUGCCUUUUACAGGGGGAUAGCCUUUCGAAAGAGAGAUUAAUACCCCAUAAUAGUUGACCGGGCAUCUGGUUGAUUUGAAAGCUCCGGCGGUAAGAGAUGAGUAUGCGCCUGAUUAGCUAGUUGGUGAGGUAACGGCUCACCAAGGCGACGAUCAGUAGGGGAUCUGAGAGGACUAACCCCCACACUGGUACUGAGACACGGACCAGGACUCCUACGGGAGGCAGCUAGUAAGGAAUAGUGGUCAAUGGAGGCAACUCUGAACCAGCCAUGCCGCGUGCAGGAUGACGGCCCUAUGGGUUGUAAACUGCUUUUGUACCAGAGAAAACCUACUCACGUGUGAGUAGCUGAUAGUAAUGGUAAGAACUAAAGCAUCGGCUAAACUU